GUAGGAAUCUGCCUGAUAGUGGGGGAUAGCCCGAAGAAAUUCGGAUUAAUACCGCAUAAUCUAUUCGUAGUAAAGUGGGGGACUUUUAAGCCUCACGCUAUCAGAUGAGCCUGCGUAAGAUUAGCUAGUUGGUAGGGUAAAAGCCUACCAAGGCAACGAUCUUUAGCUGGUCUGAGAGGAUGAUCAGCCACAUCGGGACUGAGACACGGCCCGAACUCCUACGGGAGGCAGCAGUGGGGAAUAUUGGACAAUGGGGGCAACCCUGAUCCAGCAAUACCGCGUGUGUGAAGAAGGCCUGAGGGUUGUAAAGCACUUUCAAUUGUGAAGAAAAGUUAACGGUUAAUAACCGUUAGCCUUGACGUUAACUUUAGAAGAAGCACCGGCUAACUCCGUGCCAGCAGCCGCGGUAAUACGGAGGGUGCAAGCGUUAAUCGGAAUUACUGGGCGUAAAGCGUGCGUAGGCGGUUUAUUAAGUCAGACGUGAAAGCCCCGGGCUUAACCUGGGAACUGCAUUUGAAACUGGUCAACUAGAGUAUGGUAGAGGAAAGUGGAAUUUCUGGUGUAGCGGUGAAAUGCGUAGGUAUCAGAAGGAACAUCAAUGGCGAAGGCAGCUUUCUGGACCAAUACUGACGCUGAGGUACGAAAGCGUGGGUAGCAAACAGGAUUAGAUACCCUGGUAGUCCACGCCGUAAACGAUGAUAACUAGCCGUCGGGGGGAUUUACCCUUUAGUGGCGAAGCUAACGCGUUAAGUUAUCCGCCUGGGGAGUACGGCCGCAAGGCUAAAACUCAAAGGAAUUGACGGGGACCCGCACAAGCGGUGGAGCAUGUGGUUUAAUUCGAUGCAACGCGAAGAACCUUACCUGGUCUUGACAUCCUGCGAACUUUCUAGAAAUAGAUUGGUGCCUUCGGGAACGCAGUGACAGGUGCUGCAUGGCUGUCGUCAGCUCGUGUCGUGAGAUGUUGGGUUAAGUCCCGUAACGAGCGCAACCCCUAUCCUUAUUUGCCAGCACGUCAUGGUGGGAACUAUAAGGAGACUGCCGGUGAUAAACCGGAGGAAGGCGGGGACGACGUCAAGUCAUCAUGGCCCUUACGACCAGGGCUACACACGUGCUACAAUGGGAAGGACAAAGAGCCGCGAAGCCGCGAGGUGUAGCUAAUCUCAGAAACCUUUUCGUAGUCCGGAUUGGAGUCUGCAACUCGACUCCAUGAAGUCGGAAUCGCUAGUAAUCGUAGAUCAGAAUGCUACGGUGAAUA
This 1255-nucleotide ribosomal RNA is filed under the name uncultured bacterium. RNAcentral's name for it is "bacterial SSU rRNA". It matches the Rfam family "Bacterial small subunit ribosomal RNA", at positions 117 to 1368 of the family's 1533-position model. The record is from RNAcentral.